This 301-nucleotide ribosomal RNA is filed under the name uncultured bacterium. RNAcentral describes it as "partial 16S ribosomal RNA". It matches the Rfam family "Bacterial small subunit ribosomal RNA", at positions 509 to 807 of the family's 1533-position model. The record is from RNAcentral.
CAGUCGCCGCGGUAAUACGAAGGGGGCUAGCGUUGUUCGGAAUUACUGGGCGUAAAGCGCACGUAGGCGGAUCGAUCAGUCAGGGGUGAAAUCCCAGGGCUCAACCCUGGAACUGCCUUUGAUACUGUCGAUCUGGAGUAUGGAAGAGGUGAGUGGAAUUCCGAGUGUAGAGGUGAAAUUCGUAGAUAUUCGGAAGAACACCAGUGGCGAAGGCGGCUCACUGGUCCAUUACUGACGCUGAGGUGCGAAAGCGUGGGGAGCAAACAGGAUUAGAUACCCGAGUAGUCCCUGUCUCUUAUAC